GGACCAAGGAGUCUAGCAUGUGCGCGAGUCAUUGGGAUAUUUACGAAACCUAAAGGCGCAAUGAAAGUGAAGGUCCGCCUUGCGCGGACCGAGGGAGGAUGGGCGGUCCCGAGGGGCCGCCUCGCACUCCCGGGGCGUCUCGCUCUCAUUGCGAGAAGAGGCGCACCCAGAGCGUACACGCUGGGACCCGAAAGAUGGUGAACUAUGCCUGGUCAGGACGAAGUCAGGGGAAACCCUGAUGGAGGUCCGUAGCGAUUCUGACGUGCAAAUCGAUCGUCGGAACUGGGUAUAGGGGCGAAAGACUAAUCGAACCAUCUAGUAGCUGGUUCCCUCCGAAGUUUCCCUCAGGAUAGCUGGCGCUCGCUUCUCGCGAGUCUCAUUCGGUAAAGCGAAUGAUUAGAGGCAUUGGGGUCGAAACGGCCUCAACCUAUUCUCAAACUUUAAAUGGGUGAGAUCUCCGGCUUGCUUGAACUGUGAAGCCGCGAGAUAUCGGAUCAGAGUGCCAAGUGGGCCACUUUUGGUAAGCAGAACUGGCGCUGUGGGAUGAACCAAACGCUGAGUUAAAGCGCCUAAAUCGACGCUUAUGGGAUACCAUGAAAGGCGUUGGUAACUUAAGACAGCAGGACGGUGGCCAUGGAAGUCGGA
RNAcentral lists this ribosomal RNA (645 nucleotides) under Hyposerica sp. DA4292. Its description in RNAcentral is "eukaryotic LSU rRNA". It matches the Rfam family "Eukaryotic large subunit ribosomal RNA", at positions 663 to 1265 of the family's 3401-position model. Lineage: Eukaryota; Metazoa; Arthropoda; Insecta; Coleoptera; Scarabaeidae. The record is from RNAcentral.